GUGGGGAAUAUUGGGCAAUGGGCGAAAGCCUGACCCAGCAACGCCGCGUGAAGGAAGAAGGUUUUCGGAUCGUAAACUUCUAUCCUUGGUGAAGAUAAUGACGGUAGCCAAGAAGGAAGCCCCGGCUAACUACGUGCCAGCAGCCGCGGUAAUACGUAGGGGGCAAGCGUUGUCCGGAAUGAUUGGGCGUAAAGGGCGCGUAGGCGGCCCGGUAAGUCUGAAGUGAAAGUCCUGCUUUUAAGGUGGGAAUUGCUUUGGAUACUGUCGGGCUUGAGUGCAGGAGAGGUAAGUGGAAUUCCCGGUGUAGCGGUGAAAUGCGUAGAGAUCGGGAGGAACACCAGUGGCGAAGGCGACUUACUGGACUGUAACUGACGCUGAGGCGCGAAAGUGUGGGGAGCAAACAGGAUUAGAUACCCCAGUAGUCC
Molecule: ribosomal RNA, 425 nt
Filed under: uncultured bacterium
Lineage: Bacteria
Description: partial 16S ribosomal RNA
Rfam family: Bacterial small subunit ribosomal RNA
Source: RNAcentral